UUUUAUUUUUUUCGCACACUGGUCUUCUAACUGCUCUCAGCCGUAAAACAAUUGUAUUUGGUGCAACAAACCAAAGGGGCAGUAUGAUCCCAAGCAAUGUCCCUGUCCUGGUUUGACCGAUAUCUCCCCCAUCAAGGGACUUCCCUUUUAGUCGAUCGUGAUCACACCCACCCUCUUUACAAAAUAAUUGAACAACCUUCUAAGUACAGAAAGCCUUCUCCUUUUUCACUCUACCUGGGGGUCCCUUAUCCCAGUUGAAUAUGUCCCGCUUCUACUAAAGCUCUUUCGUUCAUUGUCUGUAGUUUUUAAUUGUUGAGUCUACUCCGUCCAGUUCCAUCAGGCUCCUUAGUGUUAAAAAAAAAGAGGAGUAUCAAAGUUAGCAGAUCAAUGCAUCAACCCACAACCUUUCAUGGGUAAUACUGGCCUGUUUCAUGAGGUAAUGUGCUUCUUGAUCAACGAUGUUUUUAACUUUCAACUCGUGACAUGAUCACUUCAUUUGUAUCCGUCAAUAUCCAUCUAAAAUUGGAGAUUAAAGCCCGAAAUAAAUGAUUUCAGGACCAAGUAGUCCCUAUAACAUUUUCUAGCAAGAGCACAAUACACUUGGUUAUAGAGAAGCGAUGUCUCAAUAUCAUCUCAAACUAAAACAGUGUAAAGAUCAUAGUUUGAUUUACAUAAGUAUGAAUCGAUAGGUCUGUCUGUCAAUGCGGGUCGCUUAUUAAAGCAGAUUUGACAUAGUUCUGGUGCUUCUUGGAAACAAAAAAGUCCAGAAUAGGAUGCAGUUGUUUAUUCUCACAUCCUUAGUGACGUGAUGUCAUCAAUUGAACUAAUUGACUCCCUUUUCGGCAUGAAUGAUUUGAACUAUUCCAUAUCAAUAAUGGUUGUGGAAUAAAUGGACUGGGGAAGUCAGAUAAUGUUGGUGGUGAAGAAGAUCUAGCAAAUAUUUGGGCACUGGAAAUGUUGAGAAGGACUGAGGGGCAAGAAGUUCUUGUUCAUUCAGUUGUAAUCGACAGAAUUUUAUAUUCAAGUUAAACUGAUAUGCAGGUAGGAGGUGUUUCUCAGAAGGUCAAUAUUAACAUAACGUACAUGUACAGAAUCAUUGAUUUCCAAUAUCUUUUCAGCUUUUGGGGGAAUAUAAGAUCGGUGUAUUCAGCAUGUCUUAUCAUCUAAACCUCCUCUAACCAAGAAAACUAUGCUUGAUGCUUCAACAAUCUAUGGAUAUAUUGGUUCGUCUUCUUGUUUCAUGCAAGGAACAUGAAUGGAUUCUAUCUAUAGCAUGUGUUGUGUGUGUAAUUUUUGAUCUGCACAAUUUUUCCUUGAACAUGUAUUGGCACACGGAUUUGUGCAUUUCUAGUAGGGGACAUUCACUUUUCAAAGGAUUACUUUAGACCGUCCCUUUCUAAGGAGGCCAAAAAAUUUAUAUUGAGCCAUUAUCAACUUCAACAAAGAUCUGCAACUCAGAGUGCACGUUGGAGCAACCGCCUCUCUUAGUUUAUGUACUUUUUGUUCCAUCUAUUGUAUUGUGAAAUCCUUAACAAUGCAGCAAGGACAACUGUGCGCAUGUUGGAAAGUUUGAUCCGCCUAGCUUGAGCUAAGGACAAUUACUAUCUUACAUUGCAAAAAAAGUAAGGCUUAUGACCCUGUCAAAGUUUGACUGUUUCGAGAUUAUACUCUUUGUUUCCCUUAAAACGUUUUAAUGCCAAUUGUAGCACAUUUGAGACUAAUGCUGAGAAAUGAGGUUACACAUCUGGAUGCUAUCUCCGCCAUUUUUUGCAUCAAAUCCUCCAUGACUAUAUCAGCCGUCGUGGACAUCAUUAGAAAUGCCCUUCACCUCGAGUUUGGUGAAAUCACGAUGAGGAAUGAAUUCUUAUCAGUUCCUAGUCUAACUUUUAAUCAUCCGUGCACAAACUGAUAUUUGUUU
This is a long non-coding RNA of Rhodamnia argentea, 1918 nucleotides long. RefSeq lists it as uncharacterized. The record is from RefSeq and is a predicted model, not a curated record. The transcript has 2 exons. NCBI's taxonomy places the organism in Eukaryota, Viridiplantae, Streptophyta, Magnoliopsida, Myrtales, Myrtaceae.